Molecule: long non-coding RNA, 5298 nt
Filed under: Equus caballus (horse)
Lineage: Eukaryota; Metazoa; Chordata; Mammalia; Perissodactyla; Equidae
Description: lncRNA (ENSECAG00000047530.1)
Source: RNAcentral
CCUGGGACUCGCGUGCGGGGAACCCGAGGGAUCCCCACUGUUGGCGGCCGGCGGGCGGGGGUGGGUUAACACGCGACAUUUCUAGUUUACUGCGCGGCCCGAGCGGAGUAAAAGCGGUGCCGAGGCGCCUUAUGCACAGAGUGCCAAUCCCCUUCUUAAAGGGACGGAGACUCCGGUUCAGCCCGCGUAUGCCAGAUCUUCGGAGGAAUCUUUAUGCUAAUAAGUGUAGUAUUAGCAAUACGGACGACGUCUGCGGCCGGGAUGGCCGGGGUAGGCGGCAGGGCCGGCCGGCACCAAUCCGAGAGCCAGGCUCGAGGUCGGAAUGUCUGCUUACCUUUUCACCUCUGAGGAAGUCGUGACUUUAACCCUGUUCGCUGCCAACCUAGCAGAGCGAGUUGUGGGAACGUUCAAAGCCUAAAAUUGUAGGAGCUGGCAAGGCUCCAUUUAAAACAGGCCCUCAUUUUACAGAUGGAGAAACUGAGCCCCAGGGGAAGGUCACCCAGGUGGGCCUGGAUGCCAGUUCCCUGGUCCUAUGGCACCAAAAUGAUGUCAUUUCCACUGGUUUCUACUUUGCACCUUAAGAUCGUCCUUUGAUUAUUAACCAGAAAUGAGGAAACUGAGGCCGAGGGAGGGGCACAGCUCGCUCAGUGAAGCUUUUCCUGGGAGGCGAUGUGCUCCUCGUUGAGACAGUAUCUAGAAAUGUUACCUAAUUAGGUACCUAGUCACCUAGAAAUGAGGCAACUGCCGCCAGGGGCUGGUGCUCCUUUGAAUUUGGCUAGGCAAGCCUCAGAAUAUGACUUACCCUAAGGUGCGAGAACUGAGACCUGAGAUUGAGGAAUUCUCUAAGAAUGCUGACUUACUAGGACCAUAGCUCAGAUCAUUAAUAAUCUCCUCUUGGUACCUGUUUAUUAUAGAUGGGCUUCGGGACAGCCUAUUUUUUCCUGUAUCCUGUAGGAAAAGUGAGACCUGUUAGAGCAAACAGCAAGGCCAGAGGCUCUUCGGCUGGGACACAGCCCUGGCGGCACUGGCGGUGGAGGUCAAACUCUGAGUCUGAACCUCUCCGACCAGGAGGGCCUGGGAGCUGUCGCCUCUUCCUCUGCCUGAGGCCGCGGUGGGGAAGUGGCGGAGCCAGGACUCCAACGUGGCUCUCACUCUGAAGCCUGUGCUUUGGCCACUCAGCCUCACACAGUGAUGCAGUGGAAUUGACUGCAAAUUGUCUCUUUAGGAUCAAGCUCUUUCCCUCUUUGGUCAGACAGGACUCUAUGAGCCAGUUAAAUUUUCCAAACCCGCUAUAUGACCCCCAAGUCACAGACACCAUCACCAUCUACAUAGUCCCUUCCUUACAUGAGAUCUACUUAUAUAACAUUUCACGGGGAAAUAAUCUAGGACAGAUGUGUGUGCGUGUUGAGCUGUGUCUGGGGGAUGGUGGGAGAACCCAGAAGUUGACCUGGGCUAAGUUGUUUAUUUUGGGUAUCUCUUAAAUAUCUCAAAUUACCCUUUAAAUCACUCCUCUGCUAUAUAAGCACUUAAUUAUCCCCCAAGUAAGAGAGGCCCAAAUAGAAAACCUGACAAGCAAGGACAUCCUCAUUGUAAGCCCCAGCUUUCAACCAACCACAAUCCUCUCUGGCUCCCUCCCUUCCCAGUUCUGCUUCCAGGCUCAGGAAGGAGGAGCAACCAGAUCCUGGCAAAAGCCUAGGCCACUGGGACAAGAAAGUCCUCUCCAGGAUCUGGAAAUUUGUUCCGUGCAUGUGGGUUGCACAUGGAAGAGUUAUCUCUGCCUUCUCCAAAGGUUUAGGAGGAGAAGUUCUAUUUCACAACUUAUUUUUUCCAUUUCACGUUCAGCAGGCCAUGGGGUCAGACCCACUUUUCCAUGUGAUGCCUCUGCUGGGGUAUAAUUUGAAAGCCAAAAUUAUUGUAAUGCUAUAGUAUUAUGCCAAGCACUUCCAGAGCACUUGUGUAUCUGCUCAACCCCUACACGCUCUGUGUAUAAUUAACCUCGCUCAGCAUCCCUGCAGUCUGGUCUUAUUCCCAGUUUACAGAUGGGGUAACUGGCCUAAGGUGGUAUUUACUUCAAGCAGGCGAAAAACACAUGGGUGUUUCCUUUGGGAACUGGUAGAGACACACCUUACAAGAGUCAGAGUCAGAAAUAAUCAUUCUGAAAAGAAACAGAAAAGUUUGCUAAGGACGAUGUUGGAGAAGCAGUGUAUAAAUGGUUUGAAGAGACAGGACUUAUAGGCAAAGGAUCAGAGUGCUAUGGAGGGUUAGAGCUGGACAGACUCUCUUUUCAGAGAGCCAGCCACCCAAUUUCACAGAGGGAAAACUGAGACCAGUGAAGGGAAGAGACCGAGACAAGAGGCACAGCUGCAAUUGGCAUGCAGUGUCUUGACAUCAUAAACCCAACACCAUGCCUAUCGUUCUUGGCAUUUUUUACUUUUAUGUCCCCAAUUUUCUUAUUGGAAGGGUUGGAUAUGGCCCUAUUUCUGUUUCUUCCCUGUCUCAACUUCUUACCUUAGCCCAAGGUGGGGACAUGGCAGCUCUUUUCUCUGCACCUCCUUCCAGUAUCUUCACGUAGGCUAUGCCAUGGGUAGAUGCCAGGGAAAAUGGUGCCACCAACCCAACAGACAGUCCAUCAAAUGUUCAUGGCAGUCCCUUGCUGCGUGCCAGUCCCCAGGGCAGGAGUCUGGGCUAGAAGCAUAGAUUUGGGAGUUAUUAGUGCUCAGUGAAGAUACGAAGCAGAAUCCUUAACAGCUUCUUUCUUUUUUUUAAGAUUGGCACCUGAGCUAACAUCUGUUGCCAAUCUUCCUUUUUUCUUUUUCCCCUUCCCAAAGCCCCCAGUACAUAGUUGUAUAUUCUAGUUGUAGGUCCUCUGGCUCUGCUAUGUGAGACGCCUCCUCAGCGUGGCCUGACGAGCGGUGUUAGGUCCACACCCAGGGUCCAAACCAGCAAAACCCCGGGCUGCCGAAGUGGAGCAUGCGAACUUAACCACUCGGCCACGGGGCCGGCCCCAACGUCUUGUUUCACUCCUACUCCAUCCAACCCAUCAGCAAGGACUACGCAGCGUCCUACUACUUCUCACCACCUCCACUGCUUCCACCCUGGUCCAGCACUCCUUCAUCUCUUGCCUGGAUCAUUUCAGGCUCUCUUAUUCAUUUCUCUGCUUCUGUCCCAACACCACAGCCAGUGAUCCUAUUAAAAAUGAAUCUGAUUGUGUCCCUCCUCUGCUCAAAUCCCCCAUUGAAUCCCUAUUUCUCUAAUAGUAAAUGCCAGAAUCCCUACAGUGGCCGGUAAGGCCUCACGUGACCUAGUCCACUUGAAUUCCUGACCUCGUCUUAGACUGUCCUCUCUGCUGCUCCAGCCAGCCUGCCUCUUCGCUGUUCCUUUUACAUUCUCUCUUGCCUAAGGGACUUUGCACUCCAUCUCUUCGCCUGGAAUUCUCUCCCUCAGCUGUCCCCAAGGCUCAUCCUUCACUCCCUUCAGAUCUUUAUUUCAAUGUCACGUGCUCUGUGAGGCCUCCUUGGGUACCAGAUCUAGAAUUGUUGUCCCCACUCAGCACUCACUAUCCUUCUUCUCUGCUUUAUUUUUCUGUAUCAUGUAUCCCCAUUUGAUGCACAGCAUAUUUUACUUAUUUUGCUUGUUUAGUCUUUGUCCUGCUCCAUGAUGGGAAAGAGAUCUUUGCUCUUUGUUCUCUGUACAUCUCCGGUGUCCAGAGCAGUGCCUGGCACCUUGGAGGCAUGCAAUAAAUACUUGUUGAAUGAACGAGUGAGCAUGAGUGGUUGAUCAUGGAGAGGAGAAUGGCAGAGGGCUGACGCUUGACACCUCCAUUGCCUCGGCUCUGGUGCUGGUGGCUAUGAGCUUCGGCCCGGAGGUGGGAGCAUGUCCGACUUGCUGUGUUUUUGAAGCAGAUGCAUUCUGGGCUUCUGUUCCCAGACUGUGUGUCUUAGGCAGAGGAAGCAGAUGAGAUUCAUGCCUGCCUUCCCAGCAUCCAGAGGGAGCUCCAGGACAGUCCCCGCCUCCAGGUUAGAUUACUUCCACGUCCCAGUUGCCCUGACAUGAAGCCUGUCCGAGGUGUCGCUGGGCCAGCUAUGUUGUGCUCUCCACCUCAGGUGAGUCCAAUGUAUGGCCAAGUUUGAAAACCACUCCACUAGAGCAGGUCACUGGACCAGAGCGUCAGCCUCACCUGAGAACUUGUUAGAAAUGCAAAUUCCCCUUCCAUCUCCAGACCUUCAGAAUCAGAAACCGGGGUUGCACCCAGCAAGCCCUGCAGGGGAUUCUGCUGUAACUAAAGUUGGAGAGCCCGUUGGGAAGUUCCUCUGAUACCAGCAGGGCUCUGUCUUUGGGGCCUGAUCCACAGGAAGUUUAGCCCUGAGCUAACUACUGCCAGUCCUCCUCUUUCUGCUGAGGAAGACUGGCCCUGAGCUAACAUCUGUGCCCACCUUCCUCUACUUUAUACGUGGGAUGCCUACCACAGCAUGGUGUGCCAAGUGGUGCCAUGUCCACACCUGGGAUCCCAACCGGCGAACCCUGGGCUGCUGAGAAGCGGAAUGUGCAAACUUUACCGUUGCGCCACCGGGCUGGCCCAGUCUGACAGUCUUGAAGACCACCAUUGGCACCUGGAGCUUUUUGGCAGUAGGACAAGUUAGGCCAGAAAGAGCUGGAAGUGGGCCAGACGGGUCUCAGGACACAAAAGUCUGGGUCAGGUGGUUUGAAGGCCCAGCAGAAUGGGCUGUGGAGCCCGUGGGCAAUCAGGAUUUGGAAAGUCUGGUGAAAGGAACCAGACCGGGGUUGGGGUUUCGGGGUGGUGUUAGGUCAGCCCAGGUCCCAAGGAGGCUGAGGGUGGUGAGAUUCAGGAACAUCUCCACUGCUGGUUAACAGAGUCAGUCACUGCUUCUGGGGGGAGCCAGGACCAGGGCCUGCCAGAGCUGAGGAGGCUGGAGCAGGUGGUGUGAGAGGCAGAGAAGGAAGGUUGUGUUUGUUUUGUUUUGCUUUAUUUUGUAUUAGGAAGGAGGUGAUCAAGAACAGAGCAGCAUUUUUUUGGAGCCAAGGAGGGCUUAAAUACAAUCCCCCUAGCACCAUCAGGUUUUCUUCCAUGGGGGCUCUCACAGUCACAAGGUGAUUGAUUUUGGGAUGCCAGGUGCCCAGGAUGUGUGACUUUCCUGUCCUUGAGAGACAUCUGCAGGGCAGGCGGCAGGAGCUGUGCAUUAUCUGUUUUUGUCCACCCCCAGUAUUCGCUCAGUGCCUGCCGAAUGCUAGGCCCUGAGUGACUGUGUGUGGAACUGAACCCAAUAGAGACCUGAUACA